RNAcentral lists this long non-coding RNA (489 nucleotides) under Parus major (Great Tit). RNAcentral's name for it is "lncRNA (ENSPMJG00000011347.1)". The record is from RNAcentral. Lineage: Eukaryota; Metazoa; Chordata; Aves; Passeriformes; Paridae.
CUUGCUCUCAGAUCACACACAGUCUUAUGCAAUUUUAUUAGCAACGUGCCUUUUUUAGCAGCUUGGAAUUUAAGACUAAUCCAUCCCCAAAACUGUUUCCUGGUUUCCUUUCAUUCUCAAGAGUAGAACUUCCCUCUAGUGCAGACAAUCAGAAAAUAUUAUGAACCUUCACAGGAACUUGGAAAUAGCUGAUGAUGCUCCCAUAUGAUGGCUCAGAUGCUCACUCUCAGUCUAAACAAAUUAUCUUCUGGGGGAAAAAAGUCUAUCUGAGGAGACAGAUUGCUUCAGUUCACCUUUAGCCCGAUACAGAUGCCCACCUAGAUAAACAAGAAUCUUCUGUUCACUUGUCUUCUCUUGAUAAUGUCUGCAGACCACUGCUCUGCUAGGUCAUGGAUGACAACAUGUGUUUCCACAUCUUUUGGGAGAAAGAAGGGGAAGAGCUCUGAAUGCAGAUUGCUGCAUAUGCAAUCUUAUAUAUGCAGGUCAUGA